CCUACGGGAUGCAGCAGUGGGGAAUAUUGCACAAUGGGCGCAAGCCUGAUGCAGCCAUGCCGCGUGUAUGAAGAGGGCCUUAGGGUUGUAAGGUACUUUCAGUUGGGAGGAAGGCGUUGAUGCUAAUAUCAUCAGCGAUUGACGUUACCAACAGAAGAAGCACCGGCUAACUCCGUGCCAGCAGCCGCGGUAAUACGGAGGGUGCAAGCGUUAAUCGGAACUACUGGGCGUAAAGCGCACGCAGGCGGUUGAUUAAGUUAGAUGUGAAAUCCCCGGGCUUAACCUGGGAAUGGCAUCUAAGACUGGUCAGCUAGAGUCUUGUAGAGGGGGGUAGAAUUCCAUGUGUAGCGGUGAAAUGCGUAGAGAUGUGGAGGAAUACCGGUGGCGAAGGCAGCCCCCUGGAUAAAGACUGACGCUCAGGUGCGAAAGCGUGGGGAGCAAACAGGAUUAGAUACCCCCGUAGUC
This 465-nucleotide ribosomal RNA is filed under the name uncultured bacterium. RNAcentral's name for it is "bacterial SSU rRNA". It matches the Rfam family "Bacterial small subunit ribosomal RNA", at positions 338 to 795 of the family's 1533-position model. The record is from RNAcentral.